GAAGUUCAACUUGAGCAGCAACUGCAAACUCAGAAUCUCCAAUAUGAUCCCUUAGAUGUUGCCAACAAUUUUGAUAUAUUUUUCGGAUAAUUCCGAGUAUAAAUUUGAGUGUUAUACUUUUAUUUCAUGGUCCAUCAAUUAACGAGGAAAUAUCUGUUCACUUUGGAAUCAGACAGCAGGUGUUUACAAGCAUUAUUAUUCAUUUAAUAUUUUCAUAGGCUUUUUCCAUCCUAUUCAAAUAGAAUUUAUUAUAUGCAAUUCAUUCAAUUUUUCAGAGAUUCAAAUUCGAGCUUCUACAGUUCUAUCAGUGGCCUAGAGUGCCGGAAACUCAUCAAAUUUGUUGCCCUAUGGAAAUCCUAAAAGGUACGCAGAUAUUUACAAAUUAUUAAGCAUUUGAUUGUUGUUUUGAUUGUUGUUUCGUUGUGUAAAAUAUUAAGACGUUUUCUAUAUCAUCUUAAAUUUUUAUAGUUUCACAUGGUAUUAGAGUAGGAGGUCAUGAGUUCAAAUCUUUCUAAACUCCUUGCCAAAUUUAAUUCGUUCCCAAUUAAUUCUAGGGAAGUGUUUGAAAAGGCUUGCCUAUGUAACAAGAUUAGCUCCAAUUUCAAAUUGGUAUGUUAU
Molecule: long non-coding RNA, 618 nt
Filed under: Ananas comosus (pineapple)
Lineage: Eukaryota; Viridiplantae; Streptophyta; Magnoliopsida; Poales; Bromeliaceae
Description: long non-coding RNA (ACOM_LNC007150)
Source: RNAcentral